CCUGACGAAGCGACGCCGCGUGUAGAAAGAAGGCCUUCGGGUAGUAAACUUCUGUCAGGAGGGAAGAAACUGUUUUGUCAUAAUACGUCCAUUCACUGACCGUACCUAGAAAGGACGCACCGGUUAACUCCGUGCCAGCAGCCGAUGUAAUGGGGGGGGUGCGAGUUUUAAUUUGAAUCAGUGGGAGUAAAGCGUGGGUGGGCGGCGCACCAAGUCAGAAGAGAAAGCCCUUGGCUCAACCGAGGAAUUGCGUUAGAAACUGGUGUGCUAGAGUGUGGGAGAGGUGAGGGGAAUUCCAGGUGUAGGAGUGAAAUCCGUAGAUAUGGGGAGGAACACCGGGGGGGAAGGCGCCUAACUGGACGAGUACGGACGGUGAGGUAAGAAAGGGGGGGGAGCAAACAGGAUUACAUACCUGGGUAGUCCACUCAAUAAACGAUGGAUGUUGGGUGUGGGGUUUAACCCUUCGGUGCCGCACUAACGCGUUAA
This 486-nucleotide ribosomal RNA is filed under the name uncultured bacterium. RNAcentral describes it as "partial 16S ribosomal RNA". It matches the Rfam family "Bacterial small subunit ribosomal RNA", at positions 382 to 863 of the family's 1533-position model. The record is from RNAcentral.